This 906-nucleotide ribosomal RNA is filed under the name uncultured bacterium. Its description in RNAcentral is "bacterial SSU rRNA". It matches the Rfam family "Bacterial small subunit ribosomal RNA", at positions 552 to 1452 of the family's 1533-position model. The record is from RNAcentral.
UAUUGGGCGUAAAGAGCUCGUAGGCGGUUUGUCGCGUCUGCCGUGAAAGUCCGGGGCUCAACUCCGGAUCUGCGGUGGGUACGGGCAGUCUAGAGUGAUGUAGGGGAGACUGGAAUUCCUGGUGUAGCGGUGAAAUGCGCAGAUAUCAGGAGGAACACCGAUGGCGAAGGCAGGUCUCUGGGCAUUAACUGACGCUGAGGAGCGAAAGCAUGGGGAGCGAACAGGAUUAGAUACCCUGGUAGUCCAUGCCGUAAACGUUGGGCACUAGGUGUGGGGGACAUUCCACGUUUUCCGCGCCGUAGCUAACGCAUUAAGUGCCCCGCCUGGGGAGUACGGCCGCAAGGCUAAAACUCAAAGGAAUUGACGGGGGCCCGCACAAGCGGCGGAGCAUGCGGAUUAAUUCGAUGCAACGCGAAGAACCUUACCAAGGCUUGACAUGGGCCGGACCGGGCUGGAAACAGUCCUUCCCCUUUGGGGCCGGUUCACAGGUGGUGCAUGGUUGUCGUCAGCUCGUGUCGUGAGAUGUUGGGUUAAGUCCCGCAACGAGCGCAACCCUCGUUCCAUGUUGCCAGCGCGUAAUGGCGGGGACUCAUGGGAGACUGCCGGGGUCAACUCGGAGGAAGGUGGGGACGACGUCAAAUCAUCAUGCCCCUUAUGUCUUGGGCUUCACGCAUGCUACAAUGGCCGGUACAAAGGGUUGCGAUACUGUGAGGUGGAGCUAAUCCCAAAAAGCCGGUCUCAGUUCGGAUUGGGGUCUGCAACUCGACCCCAUGAAGUCGGAGUCGCUAGUAAUCGCAGAUCAGCAACGCUGCGGUGAAUACGUUCCCGGGCCUUGUACACACCGCCCGUCAAGUCACGAAAGUUGGUAACACCCGAAGCCGGUGGCCUAACCCCUUGUGGGAGGGA